UUUUAUAUUUUGGUUAACAGUUCUUUUUCAGCUAUGUUUUUUGCCAGUAUUUUCUCCUAGUCUGUAACUUCUUCUU
Non-coding RNA from Vicugna pacos (alpaca), 76 nucleotides. The record is from RefSeq and is a predicted model, not a curated record. NCBI's taxonomy places the organism in Eukaryota, Metazoa, Chordata, Mammalia, Artiodactyla, Camelidae.